GACGAACGCUGGCGGCGUGCUUAACACAUGCAAGUCGAACGGAAAGGCCCUGCUUUUGUGGGGUGCUCGAGUGGCGAACGGGUGAGUAACACGUGAGUAACCUGCCCUUGACUUUGGGAUAACUUCAGGAAACUGGGGCUAAUACCGGAUAGGAGCUCCUGCUGCAUGGUGGGGGUUGGAAAGUUUCGGCGGUUGGGGAUGGACUCGCGGCUUAUCAGCUUGUUGGUGGGGUAGUGGCUUACCAAGGCUUUGACGGGUAGCCGGCCUGAGAAGGUGACCGGCCACAUUGAAACUAAAAUACGGACCAGACCACUCCGGGAGGCAACAAUGGCGAAUAUUGCACAAUGGGCGGAGGCCUGGUGCCACAACGCCGCGUGCUGGAUAGCGGCCUUAGGGUUGUAAACCGUUUUCGGCUGUGACAGAGCGUAAGUGACGGUAAUGGGUAAAGAAGCACCGGCUAACUACGUG
RNAcentral lists this ribosomal RNA (468 nucleotides) under uncultured bacterium. RNAcentral's name for it is "partial 16S ribosomal RNA". It matches the Rfam family "Bacterial small subunit ribosomal RNA", at positions 28 to 507 of the family's 1533-position model. The record is from RNAcentral.